UGAAGCUACAAUUCUUUUCUAUCCGUAUGUUCCAGUCUGGCUUAAUAAUCUACGAAAGGUGGAAAGUUCUGUAAAACUCAAAUGAUCUUUUUAAAAAGAAUCGAAGACCGGGAGAGUUUGCAGCCUUUGAAUGUCUUCCCUAACUGGUGGAGAAACCACCAAGGGUGGUGGUGGUGGGGUGAUGUGGACUGCAUGUGACGUUCUUUUCAGAUUACCUGCUGGACCAACCUGAUCCCAGGGGACCUAGCUGAUACCCACAGUCAAGGACGUUUGGCGUGCUUGGUCUAAGAAAGGUGAACUGGAAGGGUUUGUAAACCUCAUAAAGACUCAUCAGUUCUAAGGGUUGCCCGGGGUUCUGUGGUUUGUUUGUUUGUUUGUUUGUGUUGUUGUUUUUGUGUCUAGGUUGGUUAGCACAGGCCAGAGCCUGUUUCAUGUUGUAGGGAAUCCUCCUUAGCUACUGAAGUACACUCACUUCUCCAGCUCACAAAGUGCAAAUAACCUCAGGGUUUUUUCUCUGUGACACUUUCACACACACCAGUAUUAUGUGUUGCGCUCAGUGCUCAUUCAAAAUCCAUUGAAACUUGGAAAAGUAAAAUACUUGUUAAAAAUAACAGUGUAGACGACAAAAGGAAAUUAGACCAAACUGGAACUUUUGCAGUCCAAUAUGGUGCUGUCCAGGAUGUUGUUGUUUUUGUGUGUCAACUUGGCAUACACUAGAGCUAUCUGAGAAGAAGGAACCACAACUGAGAAGAUGUCUCCCUGAGACCGGCCUGUAGGCAAGUCUGUGGGGUACUGUUCGGUUAAUGAUUGAUGUGGUUGCUGCUCCCUCUGGGUGGAUGGUCCCGGAAUCUAUAAGAAAGCAGGUCGAGCAAGCCAUGGGAAGUAAGCAGUGUUCCUCCACGACUUCGGCUUUAUUUCCCAUCUCCAGGUUCCUGCCCUGACUUCCUUUGAUGAUGGACUUCGGUGUGGAAGUAUAAUGGGAAAUAAACCCGAUCCUCGGGUCAGAACCAUGAUGGGAAAAACCACGGAGACAGCUGACCCAAGCUAGUGGGAGCUCAUGGACUCUGGACUGACAGCUGGGGAGCCUGCAUGGGACCGAACUAGGACCUCUGAAUGCUGCGGGAAGGAAUCCAGUUCUCACAACUUACCUAAUGGAUCUUCAGAUCUAGCGGCCACCACACCCCUGCAAGCUCACCUGAGGACCUCAGGGCCUUUCAUCCCUGUCUCUUCUCCCUGGAUGGCCUAAAGGCAAGAGUUUACUCAUUCCGCUGAUUAAGGCGACAGAGCAAAAAAAAAGGAGGAUAUUUCGGGGCAUAAAAUGGCCAAAAGGAUUAAACACAACUGAAAGGUCAAGAGAAAUGGAAGAUGGAAAAGAGCCAUUGGCUUUCGAUUCCGAGGUACCAUUUCAGGGGUGGGAGGAGUUAGCUGCAAUCAGGAGUGGGAGGGGGGGAAAUGGGCAGUGGGAAAGGCAGCUCUUUAGAUAUGUGUAAAGAGAGGAGAAAAGCCAGCGAUAAUGACCUGGAAGAACUUGUAUUCUAAAGGAAAGGCCUCUUUCUAGCUGGCAGAAACAUGCUAUUUGGGGGAGACGAUGGCGGCAUAAACAAGGGUGGACUAAGGUAGGAGUAGGUGGAAGGUCCUGGGUCCAGGAAGCAAGUGCCUUGUUGACUCUGAAACCAAAGAGUGGGAAGCAAGGACAGGCAGAAUACAACUGGACUUUAGGCUCAGCAAGUUUUUGUUUCAGAAUUCUUUCUGGCUAGAGCUGCUGACACAAACUGGAGCCUCAGCCACUGGACAGGCUGGUGUGGAGUGAGCCCCUGAGGCCAGGAAUUCCUUUCUGUACAAUAAAAGGCAAUAUCAGCUGCCUAGGAGAAGGAAGGGAUGGCAUGAGUGGGCUGAAGGGAGCGUUGAGGGCUUGGGGAGAGGGUGCCUGUCAGGAAUCCAGGAAGGGAUACCAGGGAAUUAUGCAACUCAGGCUUGGGAUAUCCCCAGCUUAAGGGGGUUUUCUGGAUCGAUGAAUCGGAAAAGAAACUGGUCAACAUCUUAUGAUCCCUGUGGAGUGGCAGCUGAAGUGAUGAGUCUUAGUAUUUCAGAAACGUGGUAAAGAAAAUGGAGCCAAGCUGGUGGUCCAGAGAAAGACGAAGGGACCACUGGGCUGAUGGCAGGAAAGGUGAGGAAGAGUGACUGUCUGAGAUGGGAUAUCCAAGACUAAGGUAAAGUGGUGCUGAGAUCCAUGGCUGCAGAUUCAGCCAAGUUUAAUAGGAAACAAUUUUGUCUGUGCUGAAUAUGCUCAGAUAGUUCUCAUGUCCUUCCCUAGACAAUAUAGGGUAUUUCUCGUAUUGCAAGAAAUUUAGAGGUGGUUUAGACUAUUCAGGUGGCUAUCUGUGUAUAUGCAAAUACCACACACCAGUUUAUUGGGUACUUGAGCAUCUGCAGAUCUUGGCAUCCUUCAGGGUUCCUGGAACCAACAUCCCUAGGAUUUGAAGAGAUGGCUGUAUGUGCCCUGUUUCCUGUCCCAGCUGGUGAAUUUGGAGAGGCUAGGGACUGAUAGAUACCAUGUGCCCCUCAGAGCUCAUUGCAUGACAGAGGCUCUGGUCUUGGGCCUUUCCUUUUAUUGUACAUGUUAUCAUAAUGUAUUAAAGGAUGCUUGGAUCAUGUGAACUCUUUUUUACUACCAACCACAUGAAAAAAUGCGUUCAUUCUGCAGGAUUCUUUAUUGUAUCAGUCUCAAGAGAACUCAAAGGGGGAAAAAAGAAAUUUCUCAUCUAAAUACUCCUAAAAUUACUUCACUCUUUCCUUCUUUUUUUCUAGGUUCUAACCAAGUCAGUAUUUAAUUUUAAUUGGUUAUAAUGAGCAUAAAAUAAAUUGUUAUUCUACUUGCCAGAUCACUGCCUUUUGGAAUGAAAUGAGGAAUGAAAUAAAUAUUUUCUAGGUUCCUU
Long non-coding RNA from Peromyscus californicus insignis, 2936 nucleotides. RefSeq lists it as uncharacterized. The transcript has 2 exons. NCBI's taxonomy places the organism in Eukaryota, Metazoa, Chordata, Mammalia, Rodentia, Cricetidae. The record is from RefSeq and is a predicted model, not a curated record.